RNAcentral lists this ribosomal RNA (194 nucleotides) under uncultured bacterium. RNAcentral's name for it is "partial 16S ribosomal RNA". It matches the Rfam family "Bacterial small subunit ribosomal RNA", at positions 335 to 528 of the family's 1533-position model. The record is from RNAcentral.
ACUGUACGGGAGGCAGCAGUGAGGAAUAUUGGACAAUGGGUGGAAGCCUGAUCCAGCCAUCCCGCGUGAAGGAAGACGGUUCUAUGGAUUGUAAACUUCUUUUAUUACAGGAUAACCUACUCUCGUGAGGGUAGCUGAAGGUACUGUAUGAAUAAGCACCGGCUAACUCCGUGCCAGCAGCCGCGGUAAUCAGU